Molecule: long non-coding RNA, 1016 nt
Organism: Papaver somniferum (opium poppy)
Lineage: Eukaryota; Viridiplantae; Streptophyta; Magnoliopsida; Ranunculales; Papaveraceae
Exons: 4
Source: RefSeq, a predicted model, not a curated record
ACUGAAACGAAACGUCAAAAUCAGCAGACCUUUCCAAAUUGUUAAGUUCAUUCAUCUUUCUUCCAAACCCAAGAAGAAUCUCAAAAGAUCAGCAAUUACACAAUUAAAACACACCGUCUUACACACAAUCACAUUAAAGAAGAAGAAUCUCAAAAGAUCACUUUUCACCCAAAACGAUUCGAGCAGACUUUUUUCUCAUUUUGGAAAACACUAUCAAAGGAAGAACAACCUCACUGAAACCUUACAAAUUCUAAGCAAAUCUUUACUCUCCAUAAUCAUCAGCCCCUGCAAAAUGUGAUUUACCCAAGACCUUCCUAAUUGCAGGGUCCAUGUUUUGUUUCUCUCAAAAUUCGUUAGUGGUUCAUUUAGAUCAGGUUGAAGAGAGCAAGACUGGGUUUUCAUGAUAGAUCGUCUUCUUCCUCUGUAGCUAUUGGAAUAAAGCAGCUUCAAUAAGUUCUUCGAGUACUAUAGCCUCAAGCUCGGCAAACUUUUAAGGUUCUUUCAUUUUCCAUUUUUUUUGAAAUUUAGGUGAAUUGUAAAAUGUGUGGGCUAAUUUCUUAAAUCUAGCGCUUGCUUAAAAACAGUUGGAACAAAAUCUGUUGUAAAUUCUCCAUAGAUCAAUAAAAGAAGUUGGUUUUGCUCCGGAGUGAGAAGAUGAAGUACAACUUGCAAAAUCAGAAGAAAGCUCACUGUUUGAGCUAGCUGCAUCAGAAAAAGUAUUGUUGGAGGAACAAUUUAUACAUGGAAAAAUCGACAAAAUAGCUAGCAAGACAGGUACUGAAUAUAUUUAUAUUGGAGGUCUCCAUUAUUUUCCAUUUUGUGUUCGCGCUAAUAUUGUUCUUCUUUAAGGAAAAUACAUUAUGAAUUAAGAAUUAGAGUCAAGUAAUUUGUACUCAAUUUACUUUAGCCAGUGACGGUCAUUUUAAAAACAGUUGAAAGAAAUACAAAUUUAAUUCUACACAUACCAACUUCAAGAUGUAACUUUCUUGAUCAUCAAUAGAAAAACUUUGGCAAAA